This 250-nucleotide ribosomal RNA is filed under the name uncultured prokaryote. Its description in RNAcentral is "partial 16S rRNA". It matches the Rfam family "Bacterial small subunit ribosomal RNA", at positions 525 to 775 of the family's 1533-position model. The record is from RNAcentral.
ACGUAGGGGGCAAGCGUUAUCCGGAAUUAUUGGGCGUAAAGAGCGUGUAGGUGGUUUUUUAAGUGUGAGGUGAAAGGCAAUGGCUUAACCAUUGUAAGCCUUGUGAACUGUAGUACUUGAGUGCAGGAGAGGAAAGUGGAAUUCCUGGUGUAGCGGUGAAAUGCGUAGAUAUCAGGAGGAACACCAGUGGCGAAGGCGACUUUCUGGACUGUUACUGACACUGAGGCGCGAAAGCGUGGGGAGCAAACAG